UAUGAACGUUGGCGGCGUGCUUAACACAUGCAAGUCGAACGAAGCACUUUAUUUGAUUUCCUUCGGGACUGAUUAUUUUGUGACUGAGUGGCGGACGGGUGAGUAACGCGUGGGUAACCUGCCUUGUACAGGGGGAUAACAGUUGGAAACGGCUGCUAAUACCGCAUAAGCGCACAGCAUCGCAUGAUGCAGUGUGAAAAACUCCGGUGGUAUAAGAUGGACCCGCGUUGGAUUAGCUAGUUGGUGAGGUAACGGCCCACCAAGGCGACGAUCCAUAGCCGACCUGAGAGUGUGACCGGCCACAUUGGGACUGAGACACGGCCCAAACUCCUACGGGAGGCAGCAGUGGGGAAUAUUGCACAAUGGGCGAAAGCCUGAUGCAGCGACGCCGCGUGAGCGAAGAAGUAUUUCGGUAUGUAAAGCUCUAUCAGCAGGGAAGAUAAUGACGGUACCUGACUAAGAAGCACCGGCUAAAUACGUG
This 481-nucleotide ribosomal RNA is filed under the name uncultured bacterium. Its description in RNAcentral is "partial 16S ribosomal RNA". It matches the Rfam family "Bacterial small subunit ribosomal RNA", at positions 29 to 507 of the family's 1533-position model. The record is from RNAcentral.